RNAcentral lists this ribosomal RNA (253 nucleotides) under uncultured bacterium. RNAcentral's name for it is "partial 16S ribosomal RNA". It matches the Rfam family "Bacterial small subunit ribosomal RNA", at positions 524 to 776 of the family's 1533-position model. The record is from RNAcentral.
UACGUAGGGGGCUAGCGUUGUCCGGAAUCAUUGGGCGUAAAGCGCGUGUAGGCGGCCCGGUAAGUCCGCUGUGAAAGUCGAGGGCUCAACCCUCGAAUGCCGGUGGAUACUGUCGGGCUAGAGUGCGGAAGAGGCGAGUGGAAUUCCUGGUGUAGCGGUGAAAUGCGCAGAUAUCAGGAGGAACACCUAUUGCGAAGGCAGCUCGCUGGGACGUAACUGACGCUGAGACGCGAAAGCGUGGGGAGCAAACAGG